RNAcentral lists this ribosomal RNA (305 nucleotides) under uncultured bacterium. RNAcentral describes it as "bacterial SSU rRNA". It matches the Rfam family "Bacterial small subunit ribosomal RNA", at positions 336 to 657 of the family's 1533-position model. The record is from RNAcentral.
CUCCUACGGGGGGCAGCAGUGGGGGAUAUUGCACAAUGGGGGAAACCCUGAUGCAGCGACGCCGCGUGUGGGAAGACGGUCCUCUGGAUUGUAAACCACUGUCCCCAGGGACGAAGAUGACGGUACCUGGGGAGGAAGCUCCGGCUAACUACGUGCCAGCAGCCGCGGUAAUACGUAGGGGGCAAGCGUUAUCCGGAUUUACUGGGUGUAAAGGGAGCGUAGACGGAGGAGCAAGUCUGAUGUGAAAAUCCGGGGCCCAACCCCGGAACUGCAUUGGAAACUGUUUAUCUAGAGUGUCGGAGAGG